GAAGGGCGAUACAUAGUGUGAAUUGCAGAACGUCGUGAACCACUAAGACCUUGAACGUAACUUACGGUCUUGACCGAGUCAAGAUCAGUGACAACCGAGUAUGGACUUAAUAUAACUUACUCUGGCUAUACAGAGGUAUUGAUCGAUGGAAGUCCUCCGUCGGUUUAAAUUAAAAUACCACCGUGUUGGUUUACUCUUGGCUUACUAAGGGUAGGCGAUGGUAUUAAUUUGACUUACUAUGUCAUCUCGGUUGUCUCAGAUGACCCGCUGAAUUUAA
Molecule: unclassified non-coding RNA, 277 nt
Filed under: uncultured fungus
Lineage: Eukaryota; Fungi
Description: sequence contains ITS1
Rfam family: 5.8S ribosomal RNA (bases 1-93)
Source: RNAcentral